GUGAUCAUCAAUUUAACUACUUAGCUGGAGAUAGGUACGACAUGUAUUCAGCUAAUGAAAGAAAAGGAAUGCCAACUUAAAAAGUAAAAUAAAGGUGAAUCAUUUGGUUCCACUAAAAAAUCAUUCUUAUACAGGUAGAAACACUGAUUAACAUUGUAUUAAUCUUGUAUUAACAUCACUUUGGCCUAAAAUUCACUUGAUACCUU
Molecule: long non-coding RNA, 206 nt
Filed under: Mytilus galloprovincialis (Mediterranean mussel)
Lineage: Eukaryota; Metazoa; Mollusca; Bivalvia; Mytilida; Mytilidae
Source: RNAcentral